RNAcentral lists this ribosomal RNA (532 nucleotides) under Vibrio parahaemolyticus. RNAcentral describes it as "partial 23S ribosomal RNA". It matches the Rfam family "Bacterial large subunit ribosomal RNA", at positions 1223 to 1754 of the family's 2925-position model. Lineage: Bacteria; Pseudomonadati; Pseudomonadota; Gammaproteobacteria; Vibrionales; Vibrionaceae. The record is from RNAcentral.
AUUGGGUAGGGGAGCGUUCUGUAAGCGGUUGAAGGUGUGUGGUAACGCAUGCUGGACGUAUCAGAAGUGCGAAUGCUGACAUGAGUAACGAUAAAGGGGGUGAAAAACCUCCUCGCCGGAAGACCAAGGGUUCCUGUCCAACGUUAAUCGGGGCAGGGUAAGUCGACCCCUAAGGCGAGGCCGAAAGGCGUAGUCGAUGGGAAACGGGUUAAUAUUCCCGUACUUCUUACAAUUGCGAUGGGGGGACGGAGAAGGCUAGGUGGGCCUGGCGACGGUUGUCCAGGUUCAAGUGCGUAGGCUUAAGAGUUAGGUAAAUCCGGCUCUUUUUAAGGCUGAGACACGACGUCGAGCUACUACGGUAGUGAAGUCAUUGAUGCCAUGCUUCCAGGAAAAGCCUCUAAGCUUCAGAUUGUAAGGAAUCGUACCCCAAACCGACACAGGUGGUCGGGUAGAGAAUACCAAGGCGCUUGAGAGAACUCGGGUGAAGGAACUAGGCAAAAUGGUACCGUAACUUCGGGAGAAGGUACGCUCU